UCCCUGGUGGUCCAGUGGCUAAGACUCCAUGCUUCCAAAGUAGGGAGCCCAGGUUCAAUCCCUGUCCAGGGAA
This 73-nucleotide transfer RNA is filed under the name Bos taurus (domestic cattle). It matches the Rfam family "tRNA". Rfam says of the family: Transfer RNA (tRNA) molecules are approximately 80 nucleotides in length. Their secondary structure includes four short double-helical elements and three loops (D, anti-codon, and T loops). The record is from Rfam by way of RNAcentral. Lineage: Eukaryota; Metazoa; Chordata; Mammalia; Artiodactyla; Bovidae. RNAcentral also lists the same sequence under 1 other name.